AGGACGAACGCUGGCGGCGUGCUUAACACAUGCAAGUCGAGCGGAAAGGCCCUUCGGGGUACUCGAGCGGCGAACGGGUGAGUAACACGUGAGCAAUCUGCCCUUAGCUUCGGGAUAGCUCCGGGAAACCGGAAUUAAUACCGAAUACGACCACGGCCGACAUCAGCUGUGGUGGAAAGUUUUUCGGCUAGGGAUGAGCUCGCGGCCUAUCAGCUUGUUGGUGAGGUAACGGCUCACCAAGGCGACGACGGGUAGCCGG
RNAcentral lists this ribosomal RNA (259 nucleotides) under uncultured bacterium. Its description in RNAcentral is "partial small subunit ribosomal RNA". It matches the Rfam family "Bacterial small subunit ribosomal RNA", at positions 26 to 290 of the family's 1533-position model. The record is from RNAcentral.